UACGGGGGGGGCAAGCGUUGUUCGGAAUUACUGGGCGUAAAGGGCUCGUAGGCGGCCAACUAAGUCAGACGUGAAAUCCCUCGGCUUAACCGGGGAACUGCGUCUGAUACUGGAUGGCUAGAGGUUGGGAGAGGGAUGCGGAAUUCCAGGUGUAGCGGUGAAAUGCGUAGAGAUAUGGAGGAACACCAGUGGCGAAGGCGACUUUCUGGUCUGUAACUGACACUGAGGCGCGAAAGCGUGGGGAGCAAACAGG
Molecule: ribosomal RNA, 253 nt
Filed under: uncultured bacterium
Lineage: Bacteria
Description: partial 16S ribosomal RNA
Rfam family: Bacterial small subunit ribosomal RNA
Source: RNAcentral